GGUCGGUUGGCUCAGUCAGUUGAGCGCGAUGCUGAGAAUGUCAAGGUUGCAGGUUCAAUUCCCGCUCGGUCCC
RNAcentral lists this transfer RNA (73 nucleotides) under Apaloderma vittatum (bar-tailed trogon). It matches the Rfam family "tRNA". Rfam says of the family: Transfer RNA (tRNA) molecules are approximately 80 nucleotides in length. Lineage: Eukaryota; Metazoa; Chordata; Aves; Trogoniformes; Trogonidae. The record is from Rfam by way of RNAcentral.